Molecule: ribosomal RNA, 548 nt
Filed under: uncultured archaeon
Lineage: Archaea
Description: bacterial SSU rRNA
Rfam family: Bacterial small subunit ribosomal RNA
Source: RNAcentral
AGGCGCAGCUGAUAUGUCAUGCCGCGUGCAGGAUGAAGGCCUCGGGUUGUAAACUGCUUUUGUACGGAACGAAAAGGUUGGCUUAAUACGUUGAACUCAUGACGGUACCGUAAGAAUAAGCACCGGCUAACUACGUGCCAGCAGCCGCGGUAAUACGUAGGGUGCGAGCGUUAAUCGGAAUUACUGGGCGUAAAGCGUGCGCAGGCGGUUAUGUAAGACAGAUGUGAAAUCCCCGGGCUCAACCUGGGAACUGCAUUAGUGACUGCAUAGCUGGAGUACGGCAGAGGGGGAUGGAAUUCCGCGUGUAGCAGUGAAAUGCGUAGAUAUGCGGAGGAACACCGAUGGCGAAGGCAAUCCCCUGGGCCUGUACUGACGCUCAUGCACGAAAGCGUGGGGAGCAAACAGGAUUAGAUACCCUGGUAGUCCACGCCCUAAACGAUGUCAACUGGUUGUUGGGUCUUCACUGACUCAGUAACGAAGCUAACGCGUGAAGUUGANCGCCUGGGGAGUACGGCCGCAAGGUUGGAACUCAAAGGGAUUGACGGGGA